CAAUUUAUUGAUUGGACGACAUCUGAGCUCAAUGGCAAAAAAAUAAUUCCAUUUGUUGCUAGGCUUUGCAAUGUCGAGUGCCUAGAGUUAGGUUUGUCAAAUUGUAACGAGUUCUUUACGCAAAUGGAACAAUUACCGCCUAAUCAUCAAUAAGAAGAGAGAGAGAGAGA
Erythranthe guttata (spotted monkey flower) is the source of this 170-nucleotide non-coding RNA. The record is from RefSeq and is a predicted model, not a curated record. NCBI's taxonomy places the organism in Eukaryota, Viridiplantae, Streptophyta, Magnoliopsida, Lamiales, Phrymaceae.